CUCGAAUGAAGAAAGCUCUAUAUCUUUAUUUCAAAGGAAGAAAGAAGUGCUGUGCUGACUCACCCAACGGUGAAUGAGGAGGCUCUUACUACUCACCUAAGAGAAUAAAUAAAUAGAAAGAAACUAAGAUAGAACCACGUUAGUGGCAGAUAGAGUAGGUGACUGUGAAGCUCUCCGACCGAGGCAAUUCCAAGUUGGAGCUUCGAUAGCACACGAGUCUGGAGCUGUGAGGGCUCACUCGUCCUUGCCUCGAGCCGAUGACGCCAAACCCAAAGUUUGAAAAGCAUCCGAAGACGCAUCAGUAGACGUAAAAGAGAUCCUAUUCCCUAAGUGGAAACUUCCUUUCUUCCCAUAGGGAAAGGCUAACCAUCUUGAAAGCUACUUUAUCAACAAGCUCUACCCAUUGGUCUGAAUCUUUGGAUUGUCUUCCUUCUAUUUCUGACCUCCUUUUGUAGA
RNAcentral lists this long non-coding RNA (456 nucleotides) under Nicotiana benthamiana. RNAcentral describes it as "long non-coding RNA (NBEN_LNC018402)". The record is from RNAcentral. Lineage: Eukaryota; Viridiplantae; Streptophyta; Magnoliopsida; Solanales; Solanaceae.